UGUCUGGGUGCACAUAUCUGCAUCUGACUAUUUCAGCUGCUUGUUAGGUCUUUCCGGGGGCAGUCACAAUAGGCCCUUUUUGUGAGCACACCAUAGCCUAAGUAAUAGUGUCAGGUCUUGGGGCCUCUCCUUGAGCUGGAUCCCAAUUUGGGUCAGUCGCUGGACCUCCUUUUCUACAGGAUCUUCUCUAUUUUUUCCCCUCAGUUCUUUCUGAGAGGAACAAUUAUGGGUAAGAGAUUUUGACUGUGGAAUGGCAACCCCAUCCCUCACUUGAUGCCUUGGUUUUCUGCUGGAGGUGGACUCUACAACUUCCCUCUCUUUACUGAAGAUGUUAUUAUUUUUUCAAGACCAUCUUGGAUUGCAAUUUUGCCUGUCUUCACUCCUCGGCUGACUGCAGUUUGACUAUAUGGAAUUAACACGCCUGCCAAUUCCUGUCACCAUGGGCUUGCGACAGAGUCAUCAUAUAGAAUGAAAGGCUGAUUAAAUUUGCUAUGCCACUAA
Rattus norvegicus (Norway rat) is the source of this 501-nucleotide long non-coding RNA. RefSeq lists it as uncharacterized. Lineage: Eukaryota; Metazoa; Chordata; Mammalia; Rodentia; Muridae. The record is from RefSeq and is a predicted model, not a curated record.